UUAAAUAUGGAAUGAGCACCAUGUUAAUUUAGUGAAGAUCGAAUGGGCUACCGAUCAAGUUCAACAGUUUUUGUUGAAGGCCAAGCAAUAGUACAAAGAUUGGGUGAGCUAGUCAUAGGCCGUCGUCUUCAACACUUAUAGAGCAUGUAUGGUUUAAAAGAGAAAGAAUAGAAUGGUAAAAAUAAUUAUUUGUUUAGUUCACAGAAAUAGAAAUGAAAUCGUAUUUAAAUUAAAAAUCGGAAUCA
Molecule: long non-coding RNA, 245 nt
Filed under: Ananas comosus (pineapple)
Lineage: Eukaryota; Viridiplantae; Streptophyta; Magnoliopsida; Poales; Bromeliaceae
Description: long non-coding RNA (ACOM_LNC012755)
Source: RNAcentral